UACGGAGGGUGCGAGCGUUAUCCGGAUUUAUUGGGUUUAAGGGGUGCGUAGGCGGGAUGCCAAGUCAGCGGUAAAAAUGCGGUGCUCAACGCCGUCGAGCCGUUGAAACUGGCGUUCUUGAGUGGGCGAGAAGUAUGCGGAAUGCGUGGUGUAGCGGUGAAAUGCAUAGAUAUCACGCAGAACUCCGAUUGCGAAGGCAGCAUACCGGCGCCCUACUGACGCUGAGGCACGAAAGCGUGGGUAUCGAACAGG
RNAcentral lists this ribosomal RNA (252 nucleotides) under uncultured bacterium. RNAcentral describes it as "partial 16S ribosomal RNA". It matches the Rfam family "Bacterial small subunit ribosomal RNA", at positions 524 to 776 of the family's 1533-position model. The record is from RNAcentral.